Molecule: ribosomal RNA, 725 nt
Filed under: uncultured Thermaceae bacterium
Lineage: Bacteria; Thermotogati; Deinococcota; Deinococci; Thermales; Thermaceae
Description: bacterial SSU rRNA
Rfam family: Bacterial small subunit ribosomal RNA
Source: RNAcentral
GUCUUUCAAGUCCGAUGCUAAAGACUGGGGCUCAACCCCAGGGGUGCGUUGGAUACUGUGAGGCUAGACGGUCGGAGGGGGUAGCGGAAUUUCCGGAGUAGCGGUGAAAUGCGCAGAUACCGGAAGGAACGCCAAUAGCGAAGGCAGCUACCUGGACGACUUGUGACGCUGAGGCGCGAAAGCGUGGGGAGCAAACCGGAUUAGAUACCCGGGUAGUCCACGCCCUAAACCAUGAGUGCUGGGUGUCCGGCUUCUGCUGGGUGCCGUAGCUAACGCGCUAAGCACUCCGCCUGGGAAGUACGCACGCAAGUGUGAAACUCAAAGGAAUUGACGGGGGCCCGCACAAGCGGUGGAGCAUGUGGUUUAAUUCGAAGCGACGCGAAGAACCUUACCAGGCCUUGACAUGCCCGGAACCCCUCUGAAAGGAGGGGGUGCCCGCAAGGGAGCCGGGACACAGGUGCUGCAUGGCCGUCGUCAGCUCGUGUCGUGAGAUGUUGGGUUAAGUCCCGCAACGAGCGCAACCCCUAUCCCUAGUUGCCAGCAGUUCGGCUGGGCACUCUAUGGAGACUGCCUGCGAAAGCAGGAAGAAGGCGGGGAUGACGUCUGGUCCGCAUGGCCCUUACGGCCUGGGCGACACACGUGCUACAAUGCCAAGGACAGAGCGCUGCUACCUCGCGAGAGGACGCCAAUCGCAAAAACCUUGGCUCAGUUCGGAUUGGAGUCUG